GAAAGACAAAGGCCGAGGAACUGCCCCAGACUGGAGGAGGCGGGAGACAUGGCAGCUGUGAAUGCACCGUGGGUCCUGAACCAGAAAAAGGAGCUCAGUGGGACGAUUGGUAACUUUUUGAUGCAAUCUGUCGCAUCUGAAAAGAAAACACAAGAGGUUCGGUUGGUGCAAUGUUCCUUUCUUCCCAGGACUUUCUGGUCUUCAAGGCUUUCUCAUGAGACAGAAGACUGAUGGAUGUAGAAGUUUCUAAGAGGACAGUUACGCUGCCAUGUUUUGAAGCAGGAAGACGUUACCACUUCUCAAAGGUCUUUAAUUGCCUGACCACUGCUUCUCUUUGGAAGGCUGUCAGGGUGAUGGAAUCUCAGAUCACAGCACAGAUAAAAUGGACAAAGAAAGAAAGAUACAAGAAGGAUGUAAAAAUGUCCAUAAUGAACUCAUGUAUCUUGCGGAAACCUCUAAUCUAAUGAGAAUGGAUUUUGUUGAGAAGAUUGUACACCAACAAUUAAUUAUUCAUGGCAGAGACAUCAUUAAGAUUUCAUUUUGUUUAAAGGCCUCUAAGUGACUUAGGAAAUUAGGUUAAGCUAGAGAAGAAUUUCAAGAAAGAGACAAGGGAAAGCUUUUCGUUAUAUUGACUUUUUCUAAUAUUUUCCAGAUAGAUAUUUUGACUUGGUACAUAAAUUAUACUCUGACUAAAAAUCUCCAAUGAUUUGUCUGAGUAAGAGUCUUCACAUGGGUGGAUCAUAUACCAGUGUGGUCAGAUGGAAGCAGAUGGACAGAGAUUUGUGAAAGGAUUAGGAGGUUCAUUCCAGAAUUCUAUAAUAAUUCAAUUUGGCUUUUUGGUUAGGAAUGUAGUGAGGAGUCUCCUUGAAAUGACAAUGGGAUUUGUGCAACCUGUGACAUUUUGCACUCAAGGAUCCUUUUCCCAGUGCCCUAUGGGAUGUGAGCACCUGUUCACUUACAGUACAUGUAAGAUAAGACACUUUUAAUAAAAACUCUGGAGACCUGGUGUAGUAUAGGCCCUAUGCCUGCUUAUCUUAAAGACAAACACCAGAAACUGGUGUCACGUUGUGAGUUCAAUGUGAGAUUGAUUCAAAACAUAAAGCUAGAGAUCUAGUGUAAAUUUUCAGAGGGAUAUUGAUUACAGGAUCAAUUUCUAUGGGCAAUUAAUGCAGGGGUUUGGUUUAUGUUUGAAUUCCAAGCACCCAGUGGUAUUCAAAAAUAGCAUCCAAUUUUACAUAAAAUGUAAAAUUACAUUUUGUGUUCGAUUUGGGCACCCUGUCAUGAUUUACAAUAAAGGUUUGGGCUUUUGUUUUCUUGUUCCUUCAUUAGAAAGGUUAGAACUUGCCUUUCCUCCAUGAUCACUAUUCCAGUGUCCCGGGUGCUUGGGAUUCAAAACUAAACUAAAAUUUCUUAGUGGUUGAGAAAUGUUAAGGUUGAAAUAGUAGAUCAGGCCAUGUCUGCAUGGAGAACAUCACAGCAACUGAGAACUGCAAUAGAAGAGGCUUGGUAAAGGGAGAAUCUCUUCCCUGUUUGUGAAUUAAAUAGUCCUGUAACACCUUUAGGGUAAUAAAGAAUUAGGGUUGGCGCCCUGCACCUACACGGCUAGAGUUGGGGAGAAAAUAGACCUCCAGAUGUGGAGCCAGGAAGACCUGGGUUGAGUUUUUAGCUGUGUCCUGGGCCAACAACCACAGCAGCAGCAACACCCACCACAUGCACCGGUCUCCAUCUGCCUCAAAGAACUACACACUGUAGUAGAGGGAAAGAGUCAAUAAUCAAUAAAUGCACCAAAUAAGUAAAUUAUGUAAAUUUAUAUAAAAGAGUCAAUAAAUAGUAAGUGCAAAAAAUAAGUAAAUAAGUACAUCUAUUAUGGUAAAAAGUGAUCAUUGCUAUAGAAAAAAAUAGAGGUGUGCCUAAUAAUUUAUUUAUGAAAAUCUGCUUUAACAUUUUUCGGAAAGCUGUCUCCUGGAAAAACAAGUAGUCUCUUAACUUUAUACAUUUCCAGGACAAAAUAUUAUAACCACUGCUUAACUGAUGGUGAUAUCAAGUCAAAAUGUAUGCAGCUUUUAUACAAUGGCAGCUCUAAUUUCCAGCAGCACAGAAAUUCUCCCAGUGAUUCCCUUAUUUUAAUAUCACAGCUAACCACCUAUUUAUGUGUUUCUUUAUCUCAGCCUCUCUGUACCUCUGUGUUACGUGGAGAGACGAGAUGGCAUGUUGUUUAUGUAGCUUGAUACAUACCAUAGCCAGAAUUCCAGAACACAGUUUACAUACUUUACAGUUAAAUGUUUAGGCCUCAAGAACAGGAAUCAAAUACUUUGCUUUCAACACUGCUUCCUUCAUGAGAAGGAGAAAUCUCAUCCCUGAGGGUGGCUCCAGGGCCCUGGCCCCAGUAAAACACAAGCCCUGGAACAAAGCAGAGGCCUGGGUAGAAGGAAUUGUUUGCUCUGUUAGCUUAGCUUGAGGCCAAAUAGAGGGAAUUUGUUUUCAAGCCAGACAGGUGCACUUGAGGGUACAGAAAGGAGACUGGCAUUUGGGAUUGAGCCUCAGGAUGGGUCCAUCUUGACCUGUUUUUUUUUUUUUUUCAACUGAUUAGUCAAUCAUGGCUUGUUGCUUCUUAAGUCCUAAGAAUUUUAGAAUUCAGGCAGCCAGUAAUGGUUUACAAUAAAGACUUGGCACUUUGGGAGGCCGAGGCAGGUGGAUCACCUGAGGUCAGCAGUUUGAGACUAGCCUGGCCAAGAUGGGGAAACCUCAUCUCUACUAAAAAUAAAAAAAAUUAGCGGGG
RNAcentral lists this long non-coding RNA (2779 nucleotides) under Homo sapiens (human). RNAcentral's name for it is "HSALNT0121120". Lineage: Eukaryota; Metazoa; Chordata; Mammalia; Primates; Hominidae. The record is from RNAcentral.